GUGGGGAAUAUUGGACAAUGGGGGGAACCCUGAUCCAGCCAUGCCGCGUGUGUGAAGAAGGCCUUUUGGUUGUAAAGCACUUUAAGCGAGGAGGAGGCUACCGAGAUUAAUACUCUUGGAUAGUGGACGUUACUCGCAGAAUAAGCACCGGCUAACUCUGUGCCAGCAGCCGCGGUAAUACAGAGGGUGCAAGCGUUAAUCGGAUUUACUGGGCGUACAGCGCGCGUAGGUGGCCAAUGAAGUCAAAUGUGAAAUCCCCGAUCUUAACUUGGGAAUUGCAUUCGAUACUGGUUGGCUAGAGUAUGGGAGAGGAUGGUAGAAUUCCAGGUGUAGCGGUGAAAUGCGUAGAGAUCUGGAGGAAUACCGAUGGCGAAGGCAGCCAUCUGGCCUAAUACUGACACUGAGGUGCGAAAGCAUGGGGAGCAAACAGGAUUAGAAACCCUAGUAGUCC
Molecule: ribosomal RNA, 451 nt
Filed under: uncultured bacterium
Lineage: Bacteria
Description: partial 16S ribosomal RNA
Rfam family: Bacterial small subunit ribosomal RNA
Source: RNAcentral